Molecule: ribosomal RNA, 233 nt
Filed under: uncultured Actinomycetales bacterium
Lineage: Bacteria; Bacillati; Actinomycetota; Actinomycetes; Actinomycetales
Description: partial 16S ribosomal RNA
Rfam family: Bacterial small subunit ribosomal RNA
Source: RNAcentral
GGCGAACGGGUGAGUAACACGUGGGUGAUCUGCCCUGCACUCUGGGAUAAGCCUGGGAAACUGGGUCUAAUACCGGAUAGGACCAUGCUUUAGUGUGUGUGGUGGAAAGUUUUUCGGUGUAGGAUGAGCUCGCGGCCUAUCAGCUUGUUGGUGGGGUAAUGGCCUACCAAGGCGGCGACGGGUAGCCGGCCUGAGAGGGUGAUCGGCCACAUUGGGACUGAGAUACGGCCCAG